This 17-nucleotide small RNA is filed under the name Arabidopsis thaliana (thale cress). Its description in RNAcentral is "ATSL067700". The record is from RNAcentral. Lineage: Eukaryota; Viridiplantae; Streptophyta; Magnoliopsida; Brassicales; Brassicaceae.
GUUCAUUUGUAACAAUA